UACGAAGGGGGCGAGCGUUGUUCGGAAUUACUGGGCGUAAAGGGUGUGUAGGUGGACGUGUAAGAUAGCGGUGAAAUGCCGGAGCUCAACUUCGGAAUUGCCAUUAUAACUAUGCGUCUAGAAUUAUAGAGAGGAUAGCGGAAUACCCAGUGUAGAGGUGAAAUUCGUAGAUAUUGGGUAGAACACCAGUGGCGAAGGCGGCUAUCUGGCUAUAUAUUGACACUGAGGCACGAAAGCAUGGGGAUCAAACAGG
This 253-nucleotide ribosomal RNA is filed under the name uncultured bacterium. RNAcentral describes it as "partial 16S ribosomal RNA". It matches the Rfam family "Bacterial small subunit ribosomal RNA", at positions 524 to 776 of the family's 1533-position model. The record is from RNAcentral.